This 21-nucleotide non-coding RNA is filed under the name Caenorhabditis elegans. The record is from RNAcentral. Lineage: Eukaryota; Metazoa; Nematoda; Chromadorea; Rhabditida; Rhabditidae.
UUUUGAUGGGAAUGUCAUGCU